AGCGAACGCUGGCGGCAGGCCUAACACAUGCAAGUCGAACGAACUCUUCGGAGUUAGUGGCGGACGGGUGAGUAACACGUGGGAACGUGCCUUUUGGUUCGGAAUAACUCAGGGAAACUUGUGCUAAUACCGAAUGUGCCCUUCGGGGGAAAGAUUUAUCGCCAUUAGAGCGGCCCGCGUCUGAUUAGCUAGUUGGUGAGGUAACGCCUCACCAAGGCGACGAUCAGUAGCUGGUCUGAGAGGAUGACCAGCCACACUGGGACUGAGACACGGCCCAGACUCCUACGGGAGGCAGCAGUGGGGAAUCUUGCGCAAUGGGCGAAAGCCUGACGCAGCCAUGCCGCGUGAAUGAUGAAGGUCUUAGGAUUGUAAAAUUCUUUCACCGGGGACGAUAAUGACGGUACCCGGAGAAGAAGCCCCGGCUAACUUCGUG
This 433-nucleotide ribosomal RNA is filed under the name uncultured bacterium. RNAcentral describes it as "partial 16S ribosomal RNA". It matches the Rfam family "Bacterial small subunit ribosomal RNA", at positions 29 to 507 of the family's 1533-position model. The record is from RNAcentral.